UACGUAGGGUGCGAGCGUUGUCCGGAAUUAUUGGGCGUAAAGCGCUCGUAGGCGGUCUGUCGCGUCGAUCGUGAAAACUUGGGGCUUAACCCUGAGCUUGCGGUCGAUACGGGCAUGACUGGAGUUCGGCAGGGGAGACUGGAAUUCCUGGUGUAGCGGUGAAAUGCGCAGAUAUCAGGAGGAACACCGGUGGCGAAGGCGGGUCUCUGGGCCGAUACUGACGCUGAGAAGCGAAAGCGUGGGGAGCGAACAGG
This 254-nucleotide ribosomal RNA is filed under the name uncultured bacterium. Its description in RNAcentral is "partial 16S ribosomal RNA". It matches the Rfam family "Bacterial small subunit ribosomal RNA", at positions 524 to 776 of the family's 1533-position model. The record is from RNAcentral.